Molecule: long non-coding RNA, 1321 nt
Filed under: Homo sapiens (human)
Lineage: Eukaryota; Metazoa; Chordata; Mammalia; Primates; Hominidae
Description: non-protein coding lnc-RTP5-8:20
Source: RNAcentral
GCCUCAGCCUCCCGAGUAGCUGGGGCUACAGGCACCUGCCACCAAACCCGGCUAAUUUUUUUGUAUUUUUAGUAGAGACGGGGUUUCACCGUGUUAGCCAGGAUCGUCUUGAUCUCCUGACCUUGUGAUCCACCCGCCUCGGCCUCCCAAAUUGCUGGGAUUACAGAUGUGAGCCACCGCACCUGGUCCAAGAACCCAAGUUUUAGAUCUAGAGUGAUGUCAGCAUGACAUUGAUUUCCUGAGGCCCAGGGUCGAAGGAGCUGAGGACAGCAGAGGGGUGAAGGAACUCAGCUACAGACAGCAGCAGCUGAUGCACAGGGCUCCCAGCGCCUGAAGUCACCCGGAAUUGGGAAGUGCUCAGAAGCUUACAAAGCUGCCUCGAGGUGGGAACAUGACAUAAAUCCAAGAGCAGAUCCCUGAUCCUAUAAAAAUGUACUAGAUGCAGUGGGGGCAUUUUAAAUGAGCAGAGAAGGACAGACAGAUAAACAGAAGGACAAACAGUAUUGGGAUUGGGAUAAAUGCUCAGCUUUUGCCCAAAUCUUAGUGACUUAAGCAUCACUUAUUUGCUCACGAUUCUGUGGCUGGACCAUUUGGUUUGGCUCACAGGGCAGGGACUGUGCUGGUCUUACCUGAGCAGACCUGCAUGUCUGCGGUCAACUGGGUUGGCAGAGACAGAGUGACUGUCUUCCUCCAGGAAGCAGCAGGUUAACUGGUUGGCAGAGACAGAGGGACAGAGGGACUGUCUUCCUCCAGGAAGCAGCAGGUUAACUGGUUGGCAGAGACAGAGGGACAGAGGGGCUGUCUUCCUCCAGGAAGCAGCAGGUUGGCUCUGUUUCCUUCGUGGGGCAGCUGGUCUCCAGGGCAGCAAGAGAGACCAAGCCCCAGUGCACAUUCUACAGCCUCUGUGCACAUCAGACUUGUUAAUAUCCCAUUGGCCAGUGUAAGUCACAUGGCCAAGCCCAGAUUAAGGAGUGGAAAGAUGGAGGCUAUCUCCUCCUGGGAGAGGAGGCCAAGGAGGUGGGAGUAUUAUGUGGCCACUUAUGUUUGCAAUCUACCAUACUUAGCACUUUGAGAAAAGAAUUAACUGAGAAACUUGCUUCAAAUAGGGCAUUCAGUAAAAUGAAGCCCCAAUUGAAGUAAAAUGCAUAUAUAAAAAAUGAAACUGUGACCGAUUUUAAGGACAGUAUUGGCAAAUAUUUCUGUGCUCUUGGAGGAGAAGACCCUUAUUGGCAUGACAUGUCAGAAACCACAAUGAAAGAAUUAUUUUAACUUGCAUUCAUAAAAAUUAAAAUUAUUCAUUAAAAACAUCGUGAAUGAAAUU